UACCCCUAUCCUACUUUGACCACCAAAAAGAAAAACAAUGAAAUUUCUUCCUCUCACUAUUAUUCCUCACGUUUCAUUAAAUCUUCUAUUUCGGAUCUCAUACCACUUGAAUUAUGUCUUGGUUAUUGUCUUGCUCAGAUGAUCAGAUCUUAUCUCAUUUGUCGGCUCGGUUUACUUCAUUCCCUGUUGGUAACAAAACAGAUAGCAAGCAAAAUGGGAGUUGCCGAUACCCUAUUCUCCAGCUUGAGGGGGAGUCUCAACGACCAUAUGCUUAGGGAUACUAAUUUGGCUAAUUCUAUUGAGCUAAUUUAGUUUAUUUGGCGAGCUGAUUUGGAUGAUUUCCAGUGUUGGUUUCUAAGAAUGUUUCAUUGAAUUUUAUUUGUUAUGAAGCAUAAUUAUUGGGAUCUCAAGCCCCCCUAUCGUGGAAAAGAAAAUAAAGCAACGAAAAAAAAAA
Non-coding RNA from Prunus avium (sweet cherry), 454 nucleotides. The record is from RefSeq and is a predicted model, not a curated record. NCBI's taxonomy places the organism in Eukaryota, Viridiplantae, Streptophyta, Magnoliopsida, Rosales, Rosaceae.